UGAGGAAUAUUGGGCAAUGGUCGCAAGACUGACCCAGCCAUGCCGCGUGCAGGAUGACGGUCCUAUGGAUUGUAAACUGCUUUUGUACAGGAAGAAACACUCCUACGUGUAGGAGCUUGACGGUACUGUAAGAAUAAGGAUCGGCUAACUCCGUGCCAGCAGCCGCGGUAAUACGGAGGAUCCAAGCGUUAUCCGGAAUCAUUGGGUUUAAAGGGUCCGUAGGCGGUUUUAUAAGUCAGUGGUGAAAUCCGGCAGCUCAACUGUCGAACUGCCAUUGAUACUGUAGAACUUGAAUUACUUGGAAGUAACUAGAAUAUGUAGUGUAGCGGUGAAAUGCUUAGAGAUUACAUGGAAUACCAAUUGCGAAGGCAGGUUACUACGAGUAUAUUGACGCUGAGGG
Molecule: ribosomal RNA, 400 nt
Filed under: uncultured bacterium
Lineage: Bacteria
Description: bacterial SSU rRNA
Rfam family: Bacterial small subunit ribosomal RNA
Source: RNAcentral